Molecule: non-coding RNA, 104 nt
Organism: Orbilia brochopaga
Lineage: Eukaryota; Fungi; Ascomycota; Orbiliomycetes; Orbiliales; Orbiliaceae
Source: the annotation of a GenBank genome assembly
GGUGAGAUGGCCGAGUUGGUUAUGGCGCCAGGUUAAGGUUACACCUUAAUAAGUCGCUUCCUGGUACGGGAAACUGUGCGUGGGUUCGAGUCCCACUCUCAUCA